GUGAAUCCACAGCUUGUUCCUCUCGGUGCCUCGGCGUCCCGCGGUGUAGACGGGUGGCCGUUCACGCACUGAAGAACGUUCGGUUGUUGCCUCCUAUUGCACACAAAGCCUCCUACCACGUUCGUGCCCGGUUUUUGUGUGAACGUGCAUCCCGCGUCCGGGUGACCGGCCAGGGCUGGGAUUGCCACAUCCCGUGUCGGGUGGGAAGCGGGAGCCGAGACCGUCGCCCGGGGGGCCGCUGCCCGCCUGCUCCCUCCACAGCUGCUCCCUGGCCUCCCGUAGGCCCUGGGGGCGCCUCGUCGGGGCUGGGGGGGGGUUGCUCUCCGGCGUCUAAUGACACCGAGGUCUUCUCGUGGCCUCUUCGUCGUCCCCGCAUCCGCUUUGGAUCAAGACCUUUCCUACCUGCAGAUAGUGCUGUCUCAGUGUGGACACUCUGCGUCCCUCCUCUGACACGGGGUUCACAGCACCUGUUUCCUGCCGUUCUCUUGACAGUGUCUCUGGGGGAGCAAAAGUCUGCGUGGGGAUGAAGUCCAGUUUAUCAGUUUCUUCUCCGAUGGCGUCUCUGCAAACUCCGAGCAAGCCCAUGUCGUGAAGAUCGUGUCCCGUGAUCUCCUGCGUACGUUGUGUAUGUUGUGCACUUAAAUCCGGGACUCCCUUUGAGCUUACCUUCGCCUGAGGUGUGGACUGGAGGUGCGGGCUCCCCCCUCGCGCGUGGGUGACACCGGCCCAGUUCCAUUUGCUGAAACAGCUGCUUGUCCUACGCUGAGCCGCGCUCACACGGCUGCCAGAGUUUUCCGUGGCUCUGUUUCUGGACCACCCAUCUGGUCGGCGCCCUGGUGCCUCCAACACCAGUCCCACCCUGUGUUGCUCAUGCAGCUGUGUGGUAAGUGUUCCGAUCAGGUGGCUUCCAGCAGUUUUGUUCUCUUUCCAGUUGUUUUACGUCUAGCUCCAUUGGUCUUAUGUGUGCAUUUUAGAAUUUGCCCGUCUCUGUCUACAAAAAAAAAAAAUCUUGCUGGAAUUUUGCCUCGUGAUGUGUGAAGUCUAUAGAUCACUUUGAGGAGAACUGACAUCUUUGCUAUGCUAAGCCUUCGAAUUCAUGAACAUGCACCAAAAAGAUACUGUACUACCGAUAACAAAGUCUGGCAUUCAAAUCAUCGUUCUUCUGUAGAAACUGUCCACUUCUGCAUUUGUGACGCAUUUGGGGCCAAGUGGCAGGACUUAGAGGAAAAACUUCUGCUAAUUAUCAAGUUCAGCACGGUUCCAGGAUCCAAGAGCAAUAUACAAAAAUCAGCCACAUGUCUUUAUGUUAGCAAUGAGCAAUCCAGUGAUAAAAUCGAGAAAAAAUUCCAUUCACAACAGCAUUGAAAAGAAAGUAGGAGUCAGUUUAACAAACGGAGUGUAAGACUUAAACGCUAUGCAGCAUUUCUUUUUUUUUUUUUUGUAACAAUGAUCUAUUUUUGAGAGAGACAGAGCGAGAGGAGAGGAGGGGCAGAGAGAGAGGGGGACACAGACUCAGAUGCAGGCUCCAGGCUCCGAGCUGUCAGCACAGAGCCCAACGUGGAGCUUGAACCCACGAACCAGGAGAUCAUGACCUGAUCCAAAGUCGGACGGUUGACUGAGCCACUCAAGUGUCUCUCUUUUUUUGUUGCUUAUUUUUGAGAGAGAGAGAGAGAGAGAGAGCACAAUCAAGGGAGGGGCAACAAGAGGGAGGGAGACCCAGAAUCUGCGGCAGCCUCUAGGCCCCAAGCUAUCAGCAUAGAGCCCGACGCGGGGCUCGAACCCACAGACCAUGAGAUCACCACCUGAGCCGAAGUCAGACGGUUAACUGAGCCACCUAGGCGUCUCCACAGCAUUUCUAAGUGAUAUUAAAGAAGAUCUAGAUAAAUACAGAGACACCCACUGUUAAUGGGCUGGAGAACUCAAUAUUGUUCAAGUGGCAAUAUUCGCCAAAUUGAUUAAUAGAUUGAAUGCAAUCCUUGUCAAAAUGAGAGUGUUUUGGGGUUUGGGGAGCAAAAUCAGCAAUCUGAUCGUAAAACUUGCAUGGACACGCAGAGGACACAGGACAGCCAAACAAUUCUGAAAGGAAACAAAGUUGGAGAAUUUACACGUUCCAAUUUGAAAACUUACUACAUGGUAACAGCAAUAAACACAGUGUCUUCUGGCAUAAGGACUGACAUAUGGAUCAAUGGAACCGCGUUGAGAGUCCAGAAACAGAUUCAUAGAUUUAUCGCCAAUUGAUUUUUGACGAAAGUGCCACGGCUUUCAAGGGGGGAAAAUGCUCUUUUCAGCAAGUGGUGCUAUGACAAUUGGAAACCCAUGUAAAAACAGAAUUUGGACCCCUACCUUACACUGCACAAAAAUUAACUCGAGAUCAACCAUAAACCCGAGUGUAAGAUCUGAAGCUGUAAGAUUUUUGAAAGGACACAGAAGAGAAAAUCUUCGUGACCUUGAGACAGGCAGUGUUCUUAGGUGCAACGCCAAAAGCAGGAAUCCAUGAAAGAUGAAUCCGAGUUGAUCAAUAGUGCAGAUUCUGUGCUUCAAGUGACGAUAAGAUAACGAAACUGGGAUAAAAUGUUUGCAGGUGAGAUGUAAUAAGGGAUUUGUCUUUAGGACACUUGCAGCUCAAAUAUAAGACAAACAUACGCUCUAGGUUAUUAGGUGUAUUUUACAGCAAUUGAAACCAAAUAUGAAAUUUAAAACAGUAAUCAUAAGACAACCAAGCAAGUA
Molecule: long non-coding RNA, 2727 nt
Organism: Neofelis nebulosa (Clouded leopard)
Lineage: Eukaryota; Metazoa; Chordata; Mammalia; Carnivora; Felidae
Exons: 3
Source: RefSeq, a predicted model, not a curated record